UACGUAGGGGGCAAGCGUUGUCCGGAUUUAUUGGGCGUAAAGAGCGUGUAGGCGGCCAGGUAGGUCAGCUGUGAAAACUCGAGGCUCAACCUCGAGACGUCGGUUGAAACCACCUGGCUAGAGUCCGGAAGAGGAGAGUGGAAUUCCUGGUGUAGCGGUGAAAUGCGCAGAUAUCAGGAAGAACACCCGUGGCGAAGGCGGGUCUCUGGGCAGUAACUGACGCUGAGGAGCGAAAGCGUGGGGAGCGAACAGG
RNAcentral lists this ribosomal RNA (253 nucleotides) under uncultured bacterium. RNAcentral's name for it is "partial 16S ribosomal RNA". It matches the Rfam family "Bacterial small subunit ribosomal RNA", at positions 524 to 776 of the family's 1533-position model. The record is from RNAcentral.